Molecule: ribosomal RNA, 449 nt
Filed under: uncultured bacterium
Lineage: Bacteria
Description: bacterial SSU rRNA
Rfam family: Bacterial small subunit ribosomal RNA
Source: RNAcentral
GACCAGACUCCUACGGGAGGCAGCAGUGGGGAAUAUUGCACAAUGGGGGAAACCCUGAUGCAGCGACGCCGCGUGAGUGAAGAAGUAUUUCGGUAUGUAAAGCUCUAUCAGCAGGGAAGAAAAUGACGGUACCUGACUAAGAAGCCCCGGCUAACUACGUGCCAGCAGCCGCGGUAAUACGUAGGGGGCAAGCGUUAUCCGGAUUUACUGGGUGUAAAGGGAGCGUAGACGGCAUGGCAAGUCAGAUGUGAAAGCCCGGGGCUCAACCCCGGGACUGCAUUUGAAACUGUCAGGCUGGAGUGCAGGAGAGGUAAGUGGAAUUCCUAGUGUAGCGGUGAAAUGCGUAGAUAUUAGGAGGAACACCAGUGGCGAAGGCGGCUUACUGGACGGUAACUGACGUUGAGGCUCGAAAGCGUGGGGAGCAAACAGGAUUAGAUACCCGAGUAUUA